UACGUAGGGUGCAAGCGUUGUCCGGAAUUAUUGGGCGUAAAGAGCUCGUAGGCGGUUUGUCGCGUCGGCUGUGAAAACCUGGGGCUCAACCCCGAGACUGCAGCCGAUACGGGCAAACUAGAAUUCGGUAGGGGAGACUGGAAUUCCUGGUGUAGCGGUGAAAUGCGCAGAUAUCAGGAGGAACACCAGUGGCGAAGGCGGGUCUCUGGGCCGAUAUUGACGCUGAGGAGCGAAAGCGUGGGGAGCGAACAGG
This 253-nucleotide ribosomal RNA is filed under the name uncultured bacterium. RNAcentral's name for it is "partial 16S ribosomal RNA". It matches the Rfam family "Bacterial small subunit ribosomal RNA", at positions 524 to 776 of the family's 1533-position model. The record is from RNAcentral.